UACGUAGGGGGCAAGCGUUGUCCGGAAUCAUUGGGCGUAAAGAGCGUGUAGGCGGCUCGAUAAGUCUGCUGUAAAAGUCAAAGGCUCAACCUUUGAAUGCCGGUGGAUACUGCCGGGCUAGAGUCCGGAAGAGGCGAGUGGAAUUCCUGGUGUAGCGGUGGAAUGCGCAGAUAUCAGGAGGAACACCGAUAGCGAAGGCAGCUCGCUGGGACGGUACUGACGCUGAGGCGCGAAAGCGUGGGGAGCGAACAGG
Molecule: ribosomal RNA, 253 nt
Filed under: uncultured bacterium
Lineage: Bacteria
Description: partial 16S ribosomal RNA
Rfam family: Bacterial small subunit ribosomal RNA
Source: RNAcentral